RNAcentral lists this transfer RNA (83 nucleotides) under Deltaproteobacteria bacterium. RNAcentral's name for it is "tRNA-Leu". It matches the Rfam family "tRNA". From Rfam's summary of the family: Transfer RNA (tRNA) molecules are approximately 80 nucleotides in length. Lineage: Bacteria; Pseudomonadati; Myxococcota; Myxococcia. The record is from RNAcentral.
GCGAGAGUGGCGGAAUGGCAGACGCGCUAGAUUCAGGUUCUAGUAAGGGCAACCUUGUGGGGGUUCAAGUCCCCCCUCUCGCA